This 636-nucleotide ribosomal RNA is filed under the name Triticum aestivum (bread wheat). RNAcentral's name for it is "partial small subunit ribosomal RNA". Lineage: Eukaryota; Viridiplantae; Streptophyta; Magnoliopsida; Poales; Poaceae. The record is from RNAcentral.
AUGAUGAACACCAGGGCUCUCGCUCUCGGCGCGGCCGUCGUCCUCGCCUUCGCGGCGGCGACCGCGCACGCCCAGAGGUGCGGCGAGCAGGGCAGCGGCUUGGAGUGCCCCAACAACCUCUGCUGCAGCCAGUACGGCUACUGCGGCAUGGGCGGCGACUACUGCGGCAACGGCUGCCAGAACGGCGCCUGCUACACCAGCAAACGCUGCGGCGCCCAGGCCGCCGGCGCAGUGUGCCCCAACAACCACUGCUGCAGCCAGUACGGGCACUGCGGGUUCGGCUCCGAGUACUGUGGUGCCGGCUGCCAGGGUGGCCCCUGCCGCGCCGACAUCAAGUGCGGCAGCCAGGCCGGCGGCAAGCUCUGCCCCAACAAUCUCUGCUGCAGCCAGUGGGGUUUCUGCGGCCUCGGCUCCGAGUUCUGCGGCGUCGGCUGCCAGAGCGGUGCUUGCAGCACCGACAAGCCGUGCGGCAAGAACGCCGGUGGCAGGGCUUGCACAAACAACUAUUGUUGCAGCCAGUGGGGAUCCUGCGGUAUCGGCCCGGCCUACUGCGGUGCAGGCUGCCAGAGCGGCGGCUGUGGCUCUGUAUUCGAGGCCAUAGCCGCCAACUCCACCUCCACUCUUCUCAAAGAAUGA